AAGUGAAUAGUGAAAUCUGGGGCGUCAACCUCACAGGCUAUUAUUCAAACUCACAAGCCCGAGAAUGAUAGAGGUAACUGGAAUUUCUGAAGUAGGGGUAAUAUCCGUAGAUAUCAGAAGGAACACCAAUGGCGUAGGCAGGUUACUGGAUCAUUUCUGACACUGAGGCACGAAAGCGUGGGAGCGAACCGGAUUAGAUACCCGGGUAGUCCACGCCGUAAACGAUGGAUACUA
This 234-nucleotide ribosomal RNA is filed under the name uncultured Candidatus Saccharibacteria bacterium. RNAcentral describes it as "partial 16S ribosomal RNA". It matches the Rfam family "Bacterial small subunit ribosomal RNA", at positions 585 to 818 of the family's 1533-position model. The record is from RNAcentral. Lineage: Bacteria; Candidatus Saccharimonadota.